UUUCAUAUGAUCAGUAGCAGAACAGCACAAACCAACCGGGAGACCCUGAAUCAAGGUGAAAGCUCCCAGGGAAAUGAGGUUUUGGGGGUACUUGUGUUCAUACCAACGUGUGGUAUAUGUAGCUGCAAAGUUUUUGGCUGAUGAGAAAUUGCUUGCAUUUCAGUGCUAAAAAUUCAGGACAUAGGAUAGAUAAGACAGGAUUCCAAAAUAUGAACAAUAUCUUCUGAUACGACAGCUACUUGAGCCAUGAGCACACACAACUUAACAUGUGCAAGCUAACAAGAGCAAACGGAUGUUGGUAUGACAUCAAGAAAUUUAUUGGAAUCCAUCUUCAAUGCUACUAGUUGAGUUUUUUAAGAAAAGGCAAAAGAACAAUGGGUUGAAAAGAAGUGCAACAGGAGACAAAGAUGUGUCAACUGAUUGACGCUUGUUGUGCUAGAGCCCGAGAAGUCUUUCUCUGUAGUUGCUAUCUUUGCAUCAAAAUAAAGAUUUGGAUACUCGAGUUUCAUAUCCUACCACUCAUGAAGCAACAAUACAGUUAACCAAAAUCUUUGGAAUCAAACAUAAUCCGCUAAUAAAAUCCUAUCCCGAACUCUGUUUGAGAGAAAUCAACAAAUAAAAAUGAAAAGCAAAAAGCAAAUGUUACAUGCAAAAAUCAAAUAAAUAAUAUGGAUUAACAAGCAACAAGCGAGCACAAAAUCUCAAAGUCAAGAAAUCAAAAUCAAUACCAACCCAGGAAAAAAAGGAAAAAAGGCCAAGAAAAGGGUUACAUACUGGCAAGAACGGCGACACAGAGGCCAGGAAAGAUAUGAGGAAAUUGAACGAAAAAGUUAACCACAUGUUGGUUGAACACCAUAAACGAAGAAAUAGCAGCAGUAGCAAAAACCUGUGUCGUUACAACCCCAUAAACUUUCUGUAUAAACCCCCAUCGCAACUGGUUCUCCUAACAGGCCUUACCAUCAACCAAUUCAGUUUCUUUCUCCUCUUGUUUCAGAUGUGGUGCACCUUGAGCUUCGCUUGGUUGAGACAGAUCGAGAUUUAUGAGCUUUCCAUGGCUAGCCUUUUGGGAUAGGAAGCGGACGGGAAAGUUGUGAGAAGGCGGUGGUCGGAGAGAAGAGAGGCGGAGGAGUAGAAGAAUGAGGUGGGUUGAGAGGAGUAGGUUGGAGUAGAGUUGAAUCGGAGUUGGGUGAAGGAGGAAAUGGAGCGGAUAGUGGGAGUGGAAUUUGGAAGGGGAGAGGAAAGUAGUUGGCGUAUAGAAAUUGGAUUUGAUAUUACUAUGGGUGUUGUUUUUACAAUGGAGACCUCCAAGAAGUAUAAGAUAGCAGGAUAGCCCCUCUAAUGCCUGAAAGUAUAAUUAAAUUAAAAAGAUUCCCGCGUUCAAACGAAAGAGAAAGAAGUUAGAGACCGCAACGACAGCCAACCAAUUCAAGAAGCAUAAGAAUUUCACAGAAUAAUAGACCAGCAUAGAGGAGGAUAAGCACAAGACUUGGAAGAAAGCAAUAAGGGCUUCAUUGAGGUGGACACCUUGAUUUGCCAAUGCAUCUGCUACUGAAUUGGAUUCCCUUGGGAAUAAUUAAACGAUACUGCUGGAAGAGAAAAAAGAGGAGAUUGAGAAAUUAGUUAGUGAAAAUGGGUUUGUUAAGGAAAUUUAUAAUGAGGUAGUGCCUGAUAGAGUAGAUAAUGAAGGUUUUUGGAGUAGAUAUUUCUAUAACGUGCACAAGUUGAAGCAAGCAGAGGAAACCAGAGCCUUGCUUGUUAAGAAAGCAAUUUCUGGCGAGGAAGAGGACUUGACCUGGGACUUUGAUGGUGAAGACAACGAGGGGGACGAUAAGAGCAAUGUGUCUUUGGUAGAAGGUCAGUCUAGUGGAAGUUUAAAGCCAGAGAAGGGUGAUUACAGUGAAAGCUCUAAGGGUCAUAAUAAAAAUCUCAAAGACGAAAUGGAGAAAGGCAAUGAUAAGCUGGAGAAAAUUGAGGAGAAGGCAGCAGCAGUGGAUGUCAAGGGCGAAAACGGCAAGUCGUGUAAAGAUAGCGAUGUAUCAGUGAUUUCAAGCCAGUCAUUGUUGCCAGAGGAGGACCUUGGAUGGGAUGAAAUUGAAGAUAUUGAUGAAAGCAAAGGGGAAAAAUUGGGUAGCUCGACAAGUACUAGUAGAUUAGAUUUGCGCAAGCGGUUGAGUGCUGCAGAGGAAGAGGACUUGAGUUGGGACAUAGAUGAUGAAGAUGACGAACCUAGUAAACCAUGACACAAGGAUGGUAAGUAUAUACGAGUUGCUACUCUUUAGUUGAUUAUUUACAUGUGAAAAAUGAUUUUUUAGUGUCAUAGUUACGUAAUUAUUUUGUCAUCAUAGUUUUCCUCGUUGAGUUUCAAUGAUUGAAUUCAUGUUACUAUCUCAGUUUUAUCUUCUAUAAAUGUUAAUAUUGAUUGAAUGAAAUUAUUGGCAAAGAGCAAGCAUAUGCUGUCUACUUAAGCUUUCUCUCUUCAGUUAACGAAAAGGGGCAAACACUCAAAACUAAGGGGUAAGGAAAGACAAUAAUUACACAUGAGAGUGCAAUCCCACUACCACUAGUAUCACAUAGGAGGAAUUUGUGCCAUUCCUGGGUCAUCCCCUUAGGUGGAUAACGCCAAGAUUGCUAGGCAAGUAGUUCCCAUAUUUCCUCUGAUCUGGACAUGCUAAGCUCUCUCGAGUCUCGAGUUGUCUUCAACAGGUUAAUGGUGAUUACUGAUUUAUGGGACAUUUUAAAUUCCAUGGGUCAUUCCAUAUUUAUUUCCGGAAAUUCAGAUGAGAUGAAAAGGUGAAGAUUAAUAAGUAUAUUGGCAAAUCUAUUCCUAGUUUCUGCUCUAGUUAUAGAAAUUAAGGGAUUACAGAGAAAAGAAGCAUCCCUUAGAGCUUCACUUGCCAAGCAUCCCUUAGAAGCAACAAAGCUGUCCAUAUAGCUUGGCAAGCAAAGCUCACCGCAAUUGGAAUUUGUAAUUUCUUCGAUGCCCAAUGGGGGCCUGAAUCUUUCUUAAGUUUGAGAAAUGCAACUGCCAGCGCAACUUUGUUAUGUAAAAAAACUGUUUUUGUUUUUUUACAU
This 3072-nucleotide unclassified non-coding RNA is filed under the name Hevea brasiliensis (rubber tree). Lineage: Eukaryota; Viridiplantae; Streptophyta; Magnoliopsida; Malpighiales; Euphorbiaceae. The record is from RNAcentral.